Molecule: ribosomal RNA, 770 nt
Filed under: uncultured Bathycoccus
Lineage: Eukaryota; Viridiplantae; Chlorophyta; Mamiellophyceae; Mamiellales
Description: SSU rRNA
Rfam family: Eukaryotic small subunit ribosomal RNA
Source: RNAcentral
CCCAAUCCUGACACAGGGAGGUAGUGACAAUAAAUAACAAUACCGGGCUUUUUCAAGUCUGGUAAUUGGAAUGAGAACAAUCUAAAUCCCUUAACGAGGAUCCAUUGGAGGACAAGUCUGGUGCCAGCAGCCGCGGUAAUCCCAGCUCCAAUAGCGUAUAUUUAAGUUGUUGCAGUUAAAAAGCUCGUAGUUGGAUUUUGGUUAAGAGGGCGCGGUCGGCCGUUUGGUCUGUACUGCGUUGUCUUGACUUCCUGAUGAGGACAUGCUCUUGGUUAACGCUGAGACAUGGAGUCAUCGUGGUUACUUUGAAAAAAUUAGAGUGUUCAAAGCGGGCUUACGCUUGAAUAUAUUAGCAUGGAAUAACACUAUAGGACUCCUGUCCUAUCUCGUUGGUCUCGGGAUGGGAGUAAUGAUUAAGAGGAACAGUUGGGGGCAUUCGUAUUUCAUUGUCAGAGGUGAAAUUCUUGGAUUUAUGAAAGACGAACUUCUGCGAAAGCAUUUGCCAAGGAUGUUUUCAUUAAUCAAGAACGAAAGUUGGGGGCUCGAAGAUGAUUAGAUACCAUCCUAGUCUCAACCAUAAACGAUGCCGACUAGGGAUUGGUGGAUGUUAAUUGAUGACUUCACCAGCACCUUAUGAGAAAUCAAAGUUUUUGGGUUCCGGGGGGAGUAUGGUCGCAAGGCUGAAACUUAAAGGAAUUGACGGAAGGGCACCACCAGGCGUGGAGCCUGCGGCUUAAUUUGACUCAACACGGGGAAACUUACCAGGUCCA